This 304-nucleotide RNase P RNA is filed under the name Centipeda periodontii DSM 2778. RNAcentral describes it as "Bacterial RNase P class A". It matches the Rfam family "Bacterial RNase P class A", at positions 43 to 351 of the family's 367-position model. Rfam says of the family: Ribonuclease P (RNase P) is a ubiquitous endoribonuclease, found in archaea, bacteria and eukarya as well as chloroplasts and mitochondria. Its best characterised activity is the generation of mature 5'-ends of tRNAs by cleaving the 5'-leader elements of precursor-tRNAs. Cellular RNase Ps are ribonucleoproteins. Lineage: Bacteria; Bacillati; Bacillota; Negativicutes; Selenomonadales; Selenomonadaceae. The record is from RNAcentral.
GAGGAAAGUCCGAGCUCCACAGGGCAGUGUGCCGGAUAACCUCCGGCGAGGGUGACCUUAGGGACAGUGCUAUAGAAAUUUAAACCGCCGAUUUCUGAUCGGUAAGGGUGGAAAGGUGCGGUAAGAGCGCACCAGCAGUCGGGUGACCGGCUGGCUUUGGUAAACCCCACAUGGAGCAAGACCAAAUAGGGAAGGGCUAAGACGGCCCGUCGACCUUCCGGGUAGUGUCGCUCGAGGCGUCCGGCAACGGGCGUCCCAGAUAAAUGAUUGUCGCCGCCUCUAUGGCGGAACAGAACUCGGCUUA